GAUGAACGCUGGCGGCGUGCCUAAUACAUGCAAGUCGAGCGAACAGACGAGGAGCUUGCUCCUCUGACGUUAGCGGCGGACGGGUGAGUAACACGUGGAUAACCUACCUAUAAGACUGGGAUAACUUCGGGAAACCGGAGCUAAUACCGGAUAAUAUAUUGAACCGCAUGGUUCAAUAGUGAAAGACGGUUUUGCUGUCACUUAUAGAUGGAUCCGCGCCGCAUUAGCUAGUUGGUAAGGUAACGGCUUACCAAGGCAACGAUGCGUAGCCGACCUGAGAGGGUGAUCGGCCACACUGGAACUGAGACACGGUCCAGACUCCUACGGGAGGCAGCAGUAGGGAAUCUUCCGCAAUGGGCGAAAGCCUACGGAGCAACGCCGCGUGAGUGAUGAAGGUCUUCGGAUCGUAAAACUCUGUUAUUAGGGAAGAACAAAUGUGUAAGUAACUAUGCACGUCUUGACGGUACCUAAUCAGAAAGCCACGGCUAACUACGUG
RNAcentral lists this ribosomal RNA (496 nucleotides) under uncultured bacterium. RNAcentral's name for it is "partial 16S ribosomal RNA". It matches the Rfam family "Bacterial small subunit ribosomal RNA", at positions 28 to 507 of the family's 1533-position model. The record is from RNAcentral.